UACGUAGGUGUCGAGCGUUGUCCGGAAUUACUGGGCGUAAAGGGCUCGUAGGCGGCCAACUAAGUCAGACGUGAAAUCCCUCGGCUUAACCGGGGAACUGCGUCUGAUACUGGAUGGCUUGAGUGUGGGAGAGGAAUGCGGAAUUCCAGGUGUAGCGGUGAAAUGCGUAGAUAUCUGGAGGAACACCGGUGGCGAAGGCGGCAUUCUGGACCAUUACUGACGCUGAGGAGCGAAAGCCAGGGGAGCAAACGGG
This 253-nucleotide ribosomal RNA is filed under the name uncultured bacterium. RNAcentral's name for it is "partial 16S ribosomal RNA". It matches the Rfam family "Bacterial small subunit ribosomal RNA", at positions 524 to 776 of the family's 1533-position model. The record is from RNAcentral.